UUUUGCGUUGUUGUUCACCGUUCGAUCAUUACCAAUUUUUGUGCCCCCGUGAGUUCAACGCUCAGGUAUGUUGAUGAUAAAUGGAUAUGCGUUAAAAGGUACGUACUCCGGAGUGGUGAAUUGUUGUGGUGAAGUGAUUUGUUGCUGCUAUCUCCUGUUUCGUGAGGGUUCUUGUCGGUACUCAUAUACCGCAGGCAUGAGGGGCUUUCUUUGCAGAACAUUUCAGUGAACCAAGACUGCAGCAUUUUCAAGAUUGCCAUAACCAGCAUCAAUGCAGCUCUCAUGUCAACAUCAGCAUCAAGACAGCUCUGAUAGACCACCUCUUACUGGGUACGUUUCCCCCCCCCCCCCUUUUGAGACACCAUUGAAGGGCCAGUGGUUACGCAGGCAGGCUGGAUAUUACGACACAAUUGGCAUACAUUGGGUGAUGCAGGCAGACUGCUUAGUGUGCACCACUCGUCGUUUAGUCUAUUGAGGUGCUACAAGUGUUGUGUCAGUCUAUUUCCUCUCCGAAAAUAAAAUGUUGGGCUCUACA
Ornithodoros turicata is the source of this 535-nucleotide long non-coding RNA. RefSeq lists it as uncharacterized. Lineage: Eukaryota; Metazoa; Arthropoda; Arachnida; Ixodida; Argasidae. The record is from RefSeq and is a predicted model, not a curated record. The transcript is spliced from 3 exons.